AACGCACCUUGCGCUCCUUGGUACUCCGAGGAGCAUGCCUGUUUGAGUGUCAUUAAAUUCUCAACCUCAUCAGUUUUGUAACGAGACUGUGUGAAGUUGGAUGUGGGGGUUUGUGCAGGCUGCCUCAGUGCGGUCUGCUCCCCUGAAAUGCAUUAGCGAGUUCAAACUGGGCUCCGUCUAUUGGUGUGAUAAUUAUCUACGCCGUGGAUUGGGCUUAGACUUGCUUCUAACCGUCCGCAAGGACAAUCUUUUGACAAUUUGACCUCAAAUCAGGUAGGACUACCCGCUGAACUUAA
Molecule: unclassified non-coding RNA, 296 nt
Filed under: uncultured Psathyrella
Lineage: Eukaryota; Fungi; Basidiomycota; Agaricomycetes; Agaricales; Psathyrellaceae
Description: sequence contains ITS2
Rfam family: 5.8S ribosomal RNA (bases 1-52)
Source: RNAcentral